This 464-nucleotide ribosomal RNA is filed under the name uncultured bacterium. Its description in RNAcentral is "partial 16S ribosomal RNA". It matches the Rfam family "Bacterial small subunit ribosomal RNA", at positions 28 to 507 of the family's 1533-position model. The record is from RNAcentral.
GACGAACGCCGGCGGCGUGCUUAACACAUGCAAGUCGAGCGGUAAGGCCUCUUCGGGGGUACACGAGCGGCGAACGGGUGAGUAACACGUGGGUGACCUGCCCUCAGCUCUGGGAUAAGCCUGGGAAACUGGGUCUAAUACCGGAUAUGACCACAUGUUGCAUGGUGUGUGGUGGAAAGUUUUUUCGGCUGGGGAUGGGCCCGCGGCCUAUCAGCUUGUUGGUGGGGUGAUGGCCUACCAAGGCGACGACGGGUAGCCGGCCUGAGAGGGCGACCGGCCACACUGGGGCUGAGGCACGGCCCAGACCUCUACGGGAGGCAGCAGUGGGGAAUAUUGCGCAAUGGGCGGAAGCCUGACGCAGCGACGCCGCGUGGGGGAUGACGGCCUUCGGGUUGUAAACCUCUUUCGACCGGGACGAAGCGUAAGUGACGGUACCGGUAGAAGAAGCACCGGCCAACUACGUG